GAUGAACGCUGGCGGCGUGCCUAAUACAUGCAAGUCGAGCGAACGGACGAGAAGCUUGCUUCUCUGAUGUUAGCGGCGGACGGGUGAGUAACACGUGGAUAACCUACCUAUAAGACUGGGAUAACUUCGGGAAACCGGAGCUAAUACCGGAUAAUAUUUUGAACCGCAUGGUUCAAAAGUGAAAGACGGUCUUGCUGUCACUUAUAGAUGGAUCCGCGCUGCAUUAGCUAGUUGGUAAGGUAACGGCUUACCAAGGCAACGAUGCAUAGCCGACCUGAGAGGGUGAUCGGCCACACUGGAACUGAGACACGGUCCAGACUCCAACGGGAGGCAGCAGUAGGGAAUCUUCCGCAAUGGGCGAAAGCCUGACGGAGCAACGCCGCGUGAGUGAUGAAGGUCUUCGGAUCGUAAAACUCUGUUAUUAGGGAAGAACAUAUGUGUAAGUAACUGUGCACAUCUUGACGGUACCUAAUCAGAAAGCCACGGCUAACUACGUGCCAGCAGCCGCGGUAAUACGUAGGUGGCAAGCGUUAUCCGGAAUUAUUGGGCGUAAAGCGCGCGUAGGCGGUUUUUUAAGUCUGAUGUGAAAGCCCACGGCUCAACCGUGGAGGGUCAUUGGAAACUGGAAAACUUGAGUGCAGAAGAGGAAAGUGGAAUUCCAUGUGUAGCGGUGAAAUGCGCAGAGAUAUGGAGGAACACCAGUGGCGAAGGCGACUUUCUGGUCUGUAACUGACGCUGAUGUGCGAAAGCGUGGGGAUCAAACAGGAUUAGAUACCCUGGUAGUCCACGCCGUAAACGAUGAGUGCUAAGUGUUAGGGGGUUUCCGCCCCUUAGUGCUGCAGCUAACGCAUUAAGCACUCCGCCUGGGGAGUACGACCGCAAGGUUGAAACUCAAAGGAAUUGACGGGGACCCGCACAAGCGGUGGAGCAUGUGGUUUAAUUCGAAGCAACGCGAAGAACCUUACCAAAUCUUGACAUCCUUUGACAACUCUAGAGAUAGAGCCUUCCCCUUCGGGGGGGCAAAGUGACAGGUGGUGCAUGGUUGUCGUCAGCUCGUGUCGUGAGAUGUUGGGUUAAGUCCCGCAACGAGCGCAACCCUUAAGCUUAGUUGCCAUCAUUAAGUUGGGCACUCUAAGUUGACUGCCGGUGACAAACCGGAGGAAGGUGGGGAUGACGUCAAAUCAUCAUGCCCCUUAUGAUUUGGGCUACACACGUGCUACAAUGGACAAUACAAAGGGCAGCGAAACCGCGAGGUCAAGCAAAUCCCAUAAAGUUGUUCUCAGUUCGGAUUGUAGUCUGCAACUCGACUACAUGAAGCUGGAAUCGCUAGUAAUCGUAGAUCAGCAUGCUACGGUGAAUACGUUCCCGGGUCU
This 1373-nucleotide ribosomal RNA is filed under the name uncultured bacterium. RNAcentral describes it as "bacterial SSU rRNA". It matches the Rfam family "Bacterial small subunit ribosomal RNA", at positions 28 to 1381 of the family's 1533-position model. The record is from RNAcentral.